AUUUAACGAUGGUGGCAUGCCUUACACAUGCAAGUCGAACGGUAACAGGUUAAGCUGACGAGUGGCGAACGGGUGAGUAAUGUAUCGGAACGUGCCCAGACGCGGGUGAUAAUUGCUCGUAAGAGCAGCCAAUACCGCAUACGACCUGAUGGUGAACUCGGGGGAUCUCAAGCCCUCACGCGAUUGGAGUGGCCGACAUCAGAUUAGGUAGUUGUUGUGGUAAAGGCUCACCAAGCCGACGAUCUGUAGCUGGUCUGAGCGGGCGACGAGCCACACUGGGACUGAGCCACGGCCCAGACUCCUACGGGAGGCAGCAGUGGGGAAUUUUGGACAAUGGGCGCAAGCCUAGUCCAGCCAUGCCGCGUGCGGGAAGAAGGCCUUCAGGUAGAAAUCCGCUUUUGUCAGGGAAGAAAAGGUUCUGGCUAAUACCUGGGACUCAUGACGGUACCUGAAGAAUAAGCACCGGCUAACUACGUG
This 477-nucleotide ribosomal RNA is filed under the name uncultured bacterium. RNAcentral describes it as "partial 16S ribosomal RNA". It matches the Rfam family "Bacterial small subunit ribosomal RNA", at positions 32 to 507 of the family's 1533-position model. The record is from RNAcentral.